AGAACUUAGCAGAGAUGCUUUGGUGCCUUCGGGAACUCUGAGACAGGUGCUGCAUGGCUGUCGUCAGCUCGUGUUGUGAAAUGUUGGGUUAAGUCCCGCAACGAGCGCAACCCUUAUCCUUUGUUGCCAGCGGUUAGGCCGGGAACUCAAAGGAGACUGCCAGUGAUAAACUGGAGGAAGGUGGGGAUGACGUCAAGUCAUCAUGGCCCUUACGAGUAGGGCUACACACGUGCUACAAUGGCGCAUACAAAGAGAAGCGACCUCGCGAGAGCAAGCGGACCUCAUAAAGUGCGUCGUAGUCCGGAUUGGAGUCUGCAACUCGACUCCAUGAAGUCGGAAUCGCUAGUAAUCGUGGAUCAGAAUGCCACGGUGAAUACGUUCCCGGGCCUUGUACACACCGCCCGUCACACCAUGGGAGUGGGUUGCAAAAGAAGUAGGCAGCUUAACCUUCGGGAGGGCGCUUACCACUUUGUGAUUCAUGACUGGGGUGAAGUCGUAACAAGGUAGGCGUAGUGCU
RNAcentral lists this ribosomal RNA (517 nucleotides) under uncultured bacterium. RNAcentral describes it as "bacterial SSU rRNA". It matches the Rfam family "Bacterial small subunit ribosomal RNA", at positions 992 to 1509 of the family's 1533-position model. The record is from RNAcentral.